CAGGGACAUAUAGGAAGGGAUUCAGUCAGAGGUACGUUGUAGACCUCUGUUGACAGGGACAUAUAGGAAGGGAUUCAGUCAGAGGUACGUUGUAGACCUCUGUUGACAGGGACAUAUAGGUCUGGAUUCAGUCAGAGGUACGUUGUAGACCUCUGUUGACAGGGACAUAUAGGAAGGGAUUCAGUCAGAGGUACGUUGUAGACCUCUGUUGACAGGGACAUAUAGGAAGGGAUUCAGUCAGAGGUACGUUGUAGACCUCUGUUGACAGGGACAUAUAGGUCUGGGAUUCAGUCAGAGGUACGUUGUAGACCUCUGUUGACAGGGACAUAUAGGUCUGGAUUCAGUCAGAGGUACGUUGUAGACCUCUGUUGACAGGGACAUAUAGGUCUGGAUUCAGUCAGAGGUACGUUGUAGACCUCUGUUGACAGGGAC
This is a long non-coding RNA of Oncorhynchus tshawytscha (Chinook salmon), 432 nucleotides long. The record is from Ensembl. Lineage: Eukaryota; Metazoa; Chordata; Actinopteri; Salmoniformes; Salmonidae.